This 520-nucleotide unclassified non-coding RNA is filed under the name Hevea brasiliensis (rubber tree). The record is from RNAcentral. Lineage: Eukaryota; Viridiplantae; Streptophyta; Magnoliopsida; Malpighiales; Euphorbiaceae.
AUUAUGGUUCCUAAAUGCAUCAGUGCACUGCUGCUAAUCUUAUUUAAUCUGUUGCAGACUAGGCCUAAGAUCUCCGGUGAUGAUACUGAAAGAGUCCUAGCUGCAUCUUUACCAGAAUCUCUAGAAGAGCAUCUCCCAUCCCAAGUUCCUGAAGCAGUUAUUGAGAAGAAGUCAACUCUAGUCUCCGAGGAUGAUGAAUCAUCCGUUGGUUUUGAGAAAAUAUUUGGGAAACCUACUGGUUAUUUGAGUAUAGAGGAGAGUGGUAAGGUGCUUGAUUUUGCUUGUGACUUGGUUAAACAGCGUGCGCCAGCCAUGGUUAUGCAGGCUGCUCUUCAGCUGUGUGCACGCUUGACAAAAACACAUGCUCUUGCCAUUCAGUUUCUUGAAAAUGGAGGAAUGACUUCUCUUUUUGAUCUCCCAAGAUCUUGUUACUUCCCUGGAUAUGACACCAUGGCAUCUGCCAUUGUUAGGCAUCUUCUUGAAGAUCCUCAGACCCUGCAAACAGCCAUGGAGAUGGAGA